This 429-nucleotide ribosomal RNA is filed under the name Chloroflexota bacterium. RNAcentral describes it as "Chloroflexi bacterium partial 16S ribosomal RNA". It matches the Rfam family "Bacterial small subunit ribosomal RNA", at positions 355 to 776 of the family's 1533-position model. Lineage: Bacteria; Bacillati; Chloroflexota. The record is from RNAcentral.
UGGGGAAUAUUGCACAAUGGGCGCAAGCCUGAUGCAGCCAUGCCGCGUGUGUGAAGAAGGCCUUCGGGUUGUAAAGCACUUUCAGCGGGGAGGAAGGGAGUAAAGUUAAUACCUUUGCUCAUUGACGUUACCCGCAGAAGAAGCACCGGCUAACUCCGUGCCAGCAGCCGCGGUAAUACGGAGGGUGCAAGCGUUAAUCGGAAUUACUGGGCGUAAAGCGCACGCAGGCGGUUUGUUAAGUCAGAUGUGAAAUCCCCGGGCUCAACCUGGGAACUGCAUUCGAAACUGGCAGGCUAGAGUCUUGUAGAGGGGGGUAGAAUUCCAGGUGUAGCGGUGAAAUGCGUAGAGAUCUGGAGGAAUACCGGUGGCGAAGGCGGCCCCCUGGACGAAGACUGACGCUCAGGUGCGAAAGCGUGGGGAGCAAACAGG